Long non-coding RNA from Biomphalaria glabrata, 620 nucleotides. RefSeq lists it as uncharacterized. The transcript has 3 exons. Lineage: Eukaryota; Metazoa; Mollusca; Gastropoda; Planorbidae. The record is from RefSeq and is a predicted model, not a curated record.
CAGCUGCUGAGGUUCCAAGUCUUGAAGUAGAGCUCUUUGCUGAUAUGACUGCCCUAGACAAGUAGUCCAGUCUCUUGUUCAGGUUGAUGUUUGACCUAUGAAAACAUGAAUAUUUGAGGGAGGAAUUAGUCAAAGGGGUAAAACUUUAAAGAGACAUCCUGAGAUAAGGUUUAAGUAAACAUACAUAGGUUUCUGCUUGUUGUGCAUCCAUCCUGGCAGAAUCUACACUAGCUGGUGGCCCAGGCUGAAGGGGAACACCUGGUGCUUGUGGCAGACUGUUACUUGCAGACCAAAGAUAGUUCAGAGUAUCUGUGAUACAUUUAUAGCACUCCAUUCUGUAGAGUAAGAAUCACAAAUAGAGUCCCUCAGUGAGAUGUGCUAGAAUGUGUGUGCAGGAAAAGAAAGGUGCACUUACUUGGCAUUGGAGAACCUGGCAUCAUAGGCACACCUCCAGGACUGAACAGAACUGUAUUGGACAUAUGCAUUGGAGCACCUGUUAGGUAUAUAUAAUAUUGCAUUAACAACACUGUAAGCUAUUAAUUAUUUAUAUAUUAAGUUCUUGUUGAUUUAUGUUUCUUUGUAUUAUGUUGAUACCUCUUCUGGUAUUAGAAUGUUUGUUG